UCCCGUUGAUCCUGCGGGAGAUUGCUGCUAGUAGAAUUCGAUUAAGCCAUGCAAGUCUGAUAGCAAUAUCGGCAAAAUGCUCAGUAACACGUCAAUAAUCUGCCCUACAGUCAGGGAUAAGCUCGGGAAACUGAGUGUAACACCUGAUAGGAGAUGAUGCCUGGAAUUAGCUCUUCUCUGAAACUCGCGCUGUAGGAUGAGUUGGCGGCGGAUUAGCUUGUUGGUGGGGUAAAGGCCCACCAAGGCGAAGAUCCGUACGGGCCUUGAGAGAGGUAGCCCGGAGAGGGACACUGAGAUACUGGUCCCAGCCCUACGGGGUGCAGCAGGCGCGAAACCUUUACAAUGCACGCAAGUGUGAUAAGGGGAUUCUACGUGCCCAUGCUUUGCAUGGGCUUUUGUUAAGAUUAGAUCUCUUAGCGAAUAAGGGGUGGGUAAGACCGGUGCCAGCCGCCGCGGUAACACCGGCGCCCCAAGUGGCAAUCACGAUUAUUGGGCCUAAAGCGUUCGUAGCCGGUCUAAUAAGUCCUUUGUGAAAUCGUCGUGCUUAACGCGACGGCAUGCAAAGGAUACUGUUAGACUAGGGACCGGGAGGGGUUAGAGGUAUGCCUUGGGGACUGGUAAAAUGGUAUAAUCCAAGGUAGACCGCCGAUGGCGAAGGCAUCUAACCAGAACGGAUCCGACGGUGAGGAACGAAAGCUAGGGGAGCAAACCGGAUUAGAUACCCGAGUAGUCCUAGCCGUAAACGCUGUGAGCAAGGUGUUGCCUAUCCUAAGAGGAUGGGCAGUAUCGAAACGAAGGUGUUAAGCUCACCGCCUGGGAAGUACGGUCGCAAGACUGAAACUUUAAGGAAUUGGCGGGGGAGCACCACAAGGGGUGCGGCGUGCGGUUUAAUCCAACUAUACACGGAGAACCUUACUAGAAGCGACGGCAGGAUGAAGGACAGGCUGAAGACCUUUCCCGACGAGCCGAGAGGAAGUGCAUGGCCGCCGUCAGCUCGUGCCGCAAGGUGUCCAGCUAAGCCUGGUAACGAGCAAGACCUGUAUCCACAGUUGCUAGCAGCAUUUAUGGACUGAGCACACUGUGGAGACUGCUUUCGUAAGAAAGAGGAAGGUGCAGGCAACGGUAGGUCUGUAUGCUCCGAAUCUUCUAGGCUACACGCGCGCAACAAUGGCACAGACAAUGGGAUGCAACUCCGAAAGGAGGAGCGAAUCCUCGAAACUCUGCCUUAGUACGGAUCGAGGCUUGCAACUCAGCCUCGUGACGCCGGAAUCCCUAGUAAUCGGGUGUCAUCAACGCCCGGUGAAUAUGUCCCUGCUCCUUGCACACACCGCCCGUCAAACCAACCGAGCAGGGUUUAGGUGAAACUAGGCUUUAUUGGUCUAGCUGAAUCUGAGCUCAGUGAGGUGGGUUAAGUCGUCACAAGGUA
RNAcentral lists this ribosomal RNA (1426 nucleotides) under metagenome. Its description in RNAcentral is "bacterial SSU rRNA". It matches the Rfam family "Archaeal small subunit ribosomal RNA". The record is from RNAcentral.